Molecule: long non-coding RNA, 17033 nt
Organism: Microcebus murinus (gray mouse lemur)
Lineage: Eukaryota; Metazoa; Chordata; Mammalia; Primates; Cheirogaleidae
Source: RefSeq, a predicted model, not a curated record
AAAGAAGGAAAUUCUGACACACGCUGUGACAUGGAUGAACCUUGAGGACACUAUGCUAAGUGAAACAAGACAGUGACAGAAAAGCAGAUAUUAUGAUUUCACAUAUAUGAAAGACCUAGACUAGUCAAAUACGUACAGAGAAAAUAGAAUGGUGGGGCCAGGACAGAGGGGGGGACAGGGAAUUAUGCUUUAGUGAGCACAAAGCUUUAGUCCUGUAGGGUGAAUAAGUUCUGGAGAUCUAAUGUACAGCGUGGUUACUAGAGUUAAUAAUUACUGUAUUCUUAACAUUUACUGAGAGAGUGGAUCUUAAAUGUUCUCAUCACACACAUAAGAAAGCCGCUAUUGAAGUGACGAAUGUGCUGCUUAGCCUUACUGCGGUAAUCGUUUCACAAUGCACACAUAUAUCAAAAUAUCAUUGUAUACUUUAAACGUAUGCCAUUUUAUUUGUCAGUUAUACCUCAGUAAAGACGGAAAAAUGUUAAAACAGCCUCCCUGCUACCCACCCCCAGUAACCACAUAGGCGAGUCCAUCUACUCAUGGGGUUUUCAUUCCAGUGAGUGUGAGGUUUGCCGGGACAUGGGUGGGGGUCUUCUCACCCCCCCUGCCCCAGAGAGUCAAGCAGUUAACAACACCGACCAAGCAUUGAGUUCAUAAACUUUCGUAUCUGUUCUUGAGGUGGUCCCAGUGGCCGGACGGGGUUUGAGCCUGGUUCCUCCACUUCCCAGCCAUGUGACACUGGGCACAUCGCUUACACUCCGAGUCUGGCCUGUUUCCUUCCGGACUGCACGGCCCCGUUUGCACGGCCCCGUUUGCUCUCCAGUCGUAGCGUGGGAGCAGUGACGGCCACCUGGGCCGCGCCUGCGGGUGUCGCAGCGCCCUUCACCUGGCGCUGGAAAGGAAGGGUCAGAGCCUCUUUUUGCUUUAUUAUUAAAAGAAGGAAAUAAGCUCACAAACAAUUACUUUGAUGCGAUUUAUUCCACUUUACUGUGUUCCAGCGUUUCAGUUGUCUAUUGCUAUGUAACGGACCACCGCCAAGUUGGUGACUUGAAGAGCGCUGUCUUAUUAUUUCUCAUGGUUUCUGUGGUUUGGCUGGGCUGGGCUGGACAGGUUCUCUGCUGCACCUGGUUUCAGCUGUGUCUGGCGUGUCCAAAGUGGCUUCUCCAUUCACACGUCUGGACCCCUGCUGGGAAGGCUGGACCCCCUGGGGCUGCCCAGGCACCGCUCUCUGCGUAUGUGUGUACAUAUGAUAUAUGUGUGCAUGCCGUGUGUAUGAUGUAUGUAUGUGUGUCUUCUUUUGGAUUCCCAGAUGCGUGCCCCACUCCUGUAGGCAAACAUUCUACUGUGCUUAAUGUCUAUCUUUUAUUUGUGUGCAUUCUCACAAACUGUGUAUUAUGCCUUUGUACCCAUGCACGCUUAAUUUACAUAAAUGGUGUUGUGUGAUCGAUUCGAUUUUGCUUUUUACCUUUUCUGUUGAUGCUGUGGAUUUAGGCCUGUCCAUGCCACUCUGUAUUCUAGUUUGCUGCUUCGUGGCGUGCACCCACCCAGCAUCGUCCCCCAUUCUGCCGAGUCACCUGGCCGUUCUCCCGCUGCAGAGCCUCCCCUCCCUGCCUCUCCAAUGUCACUGCUAGGAACAUCCUCGGCAGAUUUUGAGAGAAUUUCUUUGGGCUCUAUGAACAGGAGCAGAAUGGCCAGCACACGGGGGUUGCGGGUCACAAAUAUGCCUGGGCAGUGCCAGAAGGCUGCUCUGACUAGACGCCGGUCCCUGCCCCUGCAGCAGUACCGCAGACAGACCUUCUCCUCCCAGCCAGUCCUGCUAACGCAAGAGGAUGAAGACUCUGGCCCUGCUUGCAAGGCUCUUAGGACAUUAUUGUCCCCUGCACCCCUGACUGCCCUCUGGACUUUGGUUUUUUGGAUUUGCCCUGGGCAGUCUGACCAAGUCCCUGGCAGCUCCAGGCCACAUCCCCCUGCCUUGUCACUUUGUCUCCAUUCACCCUCUCCUCUCCAGAUAGGUGUUGAUAGAUCUGCAUCAUGGUAAAUGCACCAGAGCAACUGGGAGCUGGAUUUUAUUCAAAGAGAGGAACUUGAUGGCGAUGAGAUAAUUUUACCUCCCUGACAGUGACCUAACAAAUCUCAGUGUUUAGCCCAGCACUAUCUGCAGAGAUCGUACUGCAGCACAUGCACGGGUUAGGAAGUGCUUUGUUUAUCAUUCACAGUGGCUCUGAGAAGGCAACCUCUGAGGGGGACACAUGGAGUAAGCUAUGUUACUGUGAUGAAAUGACACCAUGCCAGCAUAGAAGUCAUGCAGCUUUGGGAAUCUAGACCAGAUCACCUGUUCUAUACGCUUCAUUCCACAGGCAAAGACACCGAGACCCAGAAAAAUGGUCUUCCCAAGACUGCUGAGUAAAUGAGAGGCCAUGCUGGGACAGACCCCAAGGGCCCCUUUGUCCUGGCCCAUCCUCCUUUCAUACCCCUGCCCCAAUUUCCUUUCCACCAGCCUAUGCUGCAGGGACCCCAGAUUCGCAGACAGUCCCCAACUUUGCUCCAUGAGGUUGAACUUAUUCCUUCCCCAGAUUGGUUUUGAGAAAUACUCAGAAAUAGGAAACUGGCUUUACUGGUGAUUUUCAUUCCCUUUCCAAUUCAGUAUAGCAAACAAUAAAAUAAAACAAGAAUGAAUAAACUUAAUAGGAAGGAGAAGAUAAUAAUCAGAACUAUUUCUCAACUGUGAAAAGCCAGUAUGGAAUAAAGGAAUGAUACUUCUUAAGAAUUCUACAGGGGGUGUCCCCUCUGCUUUCUAGAUGGAGAAACAGAGUCAGAGAGACACUCAGGGAGUAACUGAAGAAAUAUGACCAAUUAUUUAGAAAAUAUAUCUAAAAUUACAGAAACAGUUUCUUGUUAUACUGUUCACAAAAGCCACUAAAGUAGGUUUUACUCCUUUAUAAAUGUCUCUUCCUUGUAACUCAAAGCAACAGCUUCUAAAAGUGUGUCUUUAUUCUUUUAUCCAGUGUGCCUUGAGAGUGAUAACAGUAAUAGUUUCAGAAAUACCAAAUAACAUUCAUGUAAUACUCUGAAAUUUGCAAAUUUACUAUAAGCAUCCAUGCUUGAGGAAAUCUUAAUUUGGGACAAGUGAUUAGUCAGGUAGGAUUGGGAGAUAAGGGAGUCAGUUCUGGUCAUAAGUAAGUAUCUCAUUGGACGUGUUUGAGGUCCUGCUCUUGGUAGAAAUCUACCACCGCACCUUGCCAUGCCCUGGAAUGCCCCCAAAACUUCCUUUGCAAAUUAGAACAGGUGGGGGCGGUGGGUCCUUCAGACUUUUUGCUAAUUUGAUCAUCCAACCAAUAGGAGAGAUGUUAGAAAAGAACGAGGACUUUCUUUGUAAUCCUGACUCACACCAAACACUAGUUUUGUGAACGGCUGGCCCAGAGAACCCCUUGAAGGGACCAUAGCACAUAAACCUAUCAGCAGAGUUCCCAGGACCGUGCCAACAAGCCCGGUGCUAGUGAACAUGUCCUUGGCCCUGGAAGUCCAGCUUUUGGCAGCUGCCACCUUAACCUAUGCUGUGAGAUCAAGGAGGUUUUUUCUUUUUAAUUCAUAUACUGUGAAUUUUACAGCCCAGUGAUCUGGGUACACUCCCAAAGUUAUGUGACCAUCAUCACUACCUAAUUGCAGAACAUUUUUAUCAUCUCAGAAAGAAACCUCGUGCCCAUUAGCAGUCACUCUGAAGUCCCUCCCUUCUGCCCUCCAGCCCCUGGCAAACACUCAUCUUUUGUGUUAUGGAGUUUCCUCUUCUGGACAUUUCAUAUACACAGAAUCAUGCCAUAUGAGGCCUUCUGUGUCUGGCCUCUUUCACCUAACAUGUUUUCAAGGUUCAUCCAUGUUGUAGCAGGUGUGGGCACGCCAUUCCUUUUUACGUCCGAGUAAUAUUCCACUGUAUGGAGGUAUCUCGUUGUGCUUAUCCCUUCAUCUGUUGGUGCAUUUAGGGAGGAUUUUGGUCCUAGUCUGAGCUGAACUUGAAACCUGUAGACAAUGAGUAUGUUUUUCCAUUUCCCAAUCAGGAGGCUAAGGUGACAAACUUAGUGUUUUAGGAAGGUUGCUGUGAAGACCAGGUUUGUGGCAAAGCAGAGAUGGAGGAUGAUGAAUUUGGAGCGUCAAUGUACUAAAUCGAAGAGGAAAGUCAAGGUCACCUAGGGAACCUGUGUGCAAGAAGCAAACCUCUCCCUCUCUCUCUCUCUCCCUCUCCCUCUCUCUCCACCCCACUCCCCUUCUCUGAUUGGAAAGCCAUAAGCCACAGGUUUAAAAGAGAAAAAGAGAAACUUAUCUUGGGGGGGGAAGGUGAAAGCCUAGUGGUGGUUUCAACCUUGCCUCAUAUUUCUCUUGGCGGCUCUGCUGAAAGUCAGCCGGCCACACUCCUUCCUGGAACGUGCAUCUCUGAUAAUUGCCUCUUGCACAAUUAUCUGCCAAGCCCUGUUGCUAAUGAAAUGAAUGAUUUAGUUAUCCUUGUUAGUAAUGGCCCACAUUGCACAGAGACCCAUUACUGCGUCCGUGAGGUUGGCAGGAAUGCCAGCCAAGGCACCUGUGAGUGAUUCUUACAAUUAGCUCUCUUAUCUCAGCUUGAUUGGGGAGGGGAAGGCCGCCAGAGGCCACAGGGUGCCGCCUGUCCGUGGCUCAGUCCCGGCCAUGCAUCAAGAGCUGGGAGCAUAUAGGGGCAAAACAAGAAAUGAGGCCAGACGGGGCUCCCUGUGUGCCAAUUGUGACCCGCAAAGCCUGCGGCUGCUUCCUCCCAGCACGGGGAAGGACACCCUGAAGGACUGUGGUGACAGGCUUCAUGUCAGGUUCACUUGGGUCCAGGGAGAAGUCCUGCUGGCUGGCAGAUGGGGCGCCCAGCCCUCCCUGCCUCACCACUGCACGCUUCUCCCCUCCCUCUGCCCCACUGCAAAGAGAACAUCUUUCUUUGCCUGCAGUGGCAGGUUUUUGCUUUUUCCCUCCUCUCUCCCCAGCAGUGCCUGUCAAUACCGCUCAUCUGUCUCCUGCCCGCCCCACCUUCCUCGAUUGCUCAUUCUUGCUGCUUUUCAAGGGAAAGGAAAUAAACCGGGGCCAGGACAACAGACAGGAAUGGGCAUGGUGGGCAAGAGAUCUGGGGGUGGUAAACAGAGAUGUGAAUACAGAAGGUUAUUUGGAAAACACCGUGUUAAGGCCCCCCCCCCAUACACGCUCUUGCACAUACACGUUUUCUCCCCAUCCUGCCUUCUGGAAGAUUAUAUUCAGGAGUAAGUGCCCCGGGUUGGAAAACAGCCACCCAGUGUUGUGACCGAGACGUGUGCUUCAGCUUACGCGGACGAGACGGUGCUUAGCUAAGGGGCUCAUGCCAGAUUAGCAGGACCAAGUGUUCACCCGAGGCUUCCCAAGCCAGCUAAUAGAGCCCGAGUAGGUACGGGGGACAGUGUGUGCACCGAGCUGGCUCCACCCCUUUGACUGGAUGUGACUCCGGGAAAGCCACUUAAUCCCCAGCAAUAGAUAGUAGACACUCAAAAAUGCUUGUAUACACACAGAGACAAAGUAUCCAUGACCAAUUUUCCAGCUCGAUCUCCACUAUCUGUACUAGUCAUGCUCAGUGUCUUACAAAAAGUAGUGGUGCUCUUCCAUUCCAACAAAACCGUGUGCAAGCUUAGAGAGAGAGGAGGACUUCUUUGGGUGGGGCGGGUGGGGGGUGGCUAACCAUUUUCUUAGGGCCUCUCUUUCCCCACACGGAGACUGCUGAGACAGCUUUGCUAAGAAUCCCAAUGGUCUGAAAACCCCUAGGUUCACCUAUGACAACGGAUGGACAUCAGGAAAAAGAAAGGGGAAGGAGGGAGGGAGGGAACAAAGGAAAGGAGGAAGGGAGGAAGAAAGGACGGGAGGAAAGAAGGUUGGUUUUUAUUGCUACUCGUACAAGAUUAUUGUGAGAACCAGCAGGAAAAUCUAUGUUUUGAAUCUAAUAAAUUGGGGCUUCCUCUUCUUGUUCAUCAAGACCACUCUUUCGUCCUUUUCGUCCCAAUGAAACAAGCCAUGGCACACAGGAGACUGCGGAGACGGCACGUGCGCUUGCUAAGCGGGUGGGCUGCGGCCCAGACUGCGCGGGUGUGGGUCCUAGCCCUGCCACCGUGAGCUGUGUGACUGGGCAAGGUGCCUAGCCUCGCGGUGCCUCGGUUUCCUCAUCAGUAAAAGUGGCUGUCGGCAGUGCCCACCCCACAAGGGUGCCAUGAGGAUGAAAGGCGUUGGCGUGUACAUGGUGUUCACAGCGGUGCUUGGCACACGGUCACAGCCUGAUAGGCGUUAGCUGUUGUGUGUGUGUGUGUGAGCGUGCCCCUCCUUGCAAUGACGAUUUUCACUUACACAAUUUCCAUCCAGACCUCUGUCCUCAGGUGGAGUGUCCUGUCUCCCCUCAGGGACCCAGGGGUGACUUAGCUCACCCAGAAGUGGGACAGAUGGCUGAGGAUUUCCCUGCAGGCUGCAGCCACGGUUCUGUGAGGGAGGGAAAGGGGCUUGAUGUCUUUGAUUGUUUUGCCUGGGGCAGAAGGAACCUAUGGUGGCAUAUAGUCACAUCUUAUUUUGCAGUUGUGGGAUGUAUAGUCAAACUUGCCCUAAUCUACAUGCUCUAUAAGCCCAAGGGGCAUGUAAUGGGGGUGGGGGCAGCAGGUGGUUAAACGUCCGAGCUCUGGGAAAGGACACUCAGCUGGGAUGCAUCUUGCCUAAAAUUCAUAGACCCAUUCUCUUGAUCUGACCUGCUCCUGGGGUAAGGUCCUGUGGAGAUGGUUUCCCAAGGGUCCCCCAAACACUUGUAAGGUGCUGUCUACAUGUAGGGGGUCGAUAUCGUGAAGACCCAAGGGGAGAGUUGCCAGCAGGGUGAGGGCCGAAACCUUGACCUAGAUGGUUUAUAUUAAGACCUUCCUGACACUCACCGCUAGGGUUUUCCUGAUGCAUCAGCCUGCUAAGUGUAGGGAGUGGCCGUGUCCGUUGGGGAAUUUGCGAUCUAGGAAGACCAAACUCGCAGGCUGGACUCCAUGGUAGAGGCAGUGCCAGUCCUAGGGGGUGGAGGGAAGAGGAUGGGAGGCUUCGUGGCAGUGGAGGGGCUUCAGCCAAGCAGGGAGGGUGGUUGGGUUUGAGCAGGCAGUGGAGAGGGGAGCAGGGACAUGCGAGAGAAGAGGACGAGGGCGUGAACAUGCCAGGGAAGGAGAGGAGACCAGGCUGACAGAAGGGCUAGAAGCAGCAUGUUGAUUUUGCAUGGGGAGCAUCAGCUGGAGUGAGGACGGCCUGGAAGCCCCUGUGGAAUAAUUUCUACCUGAUUCUGUGGGAAAUGGCGUUUGGCAGCAUGGGGCCUGGGGUGGGGCAUCAGGACUUGUCUUCUCUCCGGAACCGGCUGGCAGCCCUCCCGGAGUCAAGGGCGGGCAGAGCGAGGGUCUGUAGCACACGCAAACAAACGGGCAUCACGUAACCGUGCGUCCGCCGUCAACCGCGUUCUUACUCUCUUAAUCCUUUGGCCGCAAGAAUGGAUAAUCAUCGGCUUACGUAGACAUGAUUUUUGACAAGCCCUCAAAAAACCACAGUGUUAACUUGUCAGAUGGAGAAUCUGAGGCAUUGUACUGUAAAGGGCCCAUUCUAGGAGCUGUGGAAUCACCGUGGAGUAAGAGGCAGAGUGCCGACCACUGGGCCCCUCCUUCAGUGACCUGGCUUCUCAGCUUAGUCCUUCUCCCCAUAUCUUUUAACAAGGGGAAUCGCUUCUCGUUAGCACAAGCUGGUGGAGGUGGGCGGGAGGAAGAGGCUGCCUGGAUCUCCUUGGCCUGUUGGUGAGCAGUUAGCUGAUUAAGAAAGAUACAUGCCUAAUCUUUAGCCAUGUGGGAGGAGGAAUGAGGGCAGGGGCAGACUUGGACCUGAGACAGAGGAGGGGCAGCCCUGGUGGAAGCACGAGACGCUUCCCCGGUGGGGUGGCCUUUGCCAGGAAGGAAGGCCGUGGGCCAUGGGCCGUGGGGACGCUCAGAGGACGUGGGUGGUCUCCUCCUCCUGGGUGCUGCCCACCCCUGAGUUUCUCCCCAGCCCUCUUUGGGGCCGUUGCCAUCAUCCUUUGCCCUCCAAGUGCCCUCUUCCACCCCAGCUGCCUCUUGUUCGCUUUCUCCCUUGGGCCUGAGAACCGAUGGCAGGGUGCCCAGCCCUGCAUGCCUGGCACGGACGGCAGCCUCAGUUCCUGGUGUGUGUGUGUGCGUGUGCGUGUGUACGUGUGUGUAGGGGCUGGGGCCAACGGUGGAUCAGAGCACAGGAGUAGAGAGCUUCUGGGAGGGGGCCACCCAGGAGUCACGCCCUACACCCUGGAGCCCAGAGGACCCUUCGCUGGACCCACGACUGCCGGCAACACCUGAGCAGCCAGAGCAGCUUCAGUCUCUGACCAGAGGAGCCUGGGAGGAGCCGCAGGAGUAAGUCAUGCUGGAGGAAGGGCCGGGCUGGGCUCCAGGGAUGCCCAGGGGCAGUGGGUGCUGCAGAGCCAGAGAGGAGGGAGAUGAGAGGUCUUUGUGCCCCUCUGCCCUCCCACCCUUGUGUGUGCACAACAUCCACAUCCCUUUCCUUGCACCCUGGACCUGGAGGGCGCUGCCGCAGGCUGGACUCCAGGCAGAGCCACAGAGGUGGGAGGAUUGGUCCGGGGUUCCUGCCAGUGGGGUCUCCCCACAGGUACACGGCGUGUGGCUGUCUGAUGUUGGGGGCAGGCGUGGCAGGGUGGUCCUGUGGGGGCACCCAGGAGCCCAGGCGUCAUAGACCCUCAGCCCACCAUGCUGUCGGGUGGGGAAGGGAGAAGAGUAGGUGGAGGGGGGAGGUUUGGACAAGAUGCAAAUCCUGUUUCCACUUACAGGUACUCACGGCGGUGGGCCAGGACUCUGGAAAAGCUCUGCAGUCGAUACACUUGGCCUUAGAAAACGGAAGUAGGAGAUGGGGUCGUAUGGUGGGAGCCUCCUUUUGUAUACUCAGUCCAGCCUGAAUGUCAGACAUUUGGGGUCAAGAGCUGGAUGAACAAGGCCUUGGGCCCAGCUGUCACCUCCCGUUCCCCUGUCUGGACCUGAGGGCGGAUCCUGGCUCCUGGUGCACUUCUCCUUCUCCUCCUCGUCUUCUGUCUCCUCCUGGUGGUGGCUGUCCUCCCUUCAUGUCCUGGCAGGAAGCUCUGGGGCUGGCAGGACUCCUGGCUGCCCACAACCUGGGCCUGGUGGUUCUCUCAGGUACAUAUUCUAUGAGGUAAGGCUGCUGGGGGCCCUAGAGACUUCUAGGGUCUCUUUUUUCAGAGUGGGGGAAUUGCCCAGGGUAAAUAGAAUCAUGCUCUUCCUACGUAGAAAGGAGAACCCAUGAUGGGGGCGUGUGCGGGAGGGGCUCUGUCCCAUCUCGGGCUGCCUGCCUCCAGCACCAGGUCCAUCUGCCUCUCCUGUGGUGGCAGAGUGCAGGUCAGCGGAAAGCAAGAGUGUAGUUCAGUACCCCCACACCUAAGGGGAACCCCCAACUCUUGUUUCUACCUGGGCUCUGUUAGACUCUGCCCAGUUUUCUGAGCCCCAAACCCAGGUUCCUUUCAGACGCCUUGCAGUUGGUCACGUUCUGUGCCCACGUGCCAUGCCUUGUGCCAGGCUGAGCUGGGGCCUGCCGAGUCGCUGCUGAGUAAGGUGCACCUGCCCUCCAGGGGCGCAGGGUCUGGGAAGGGGACCGAUGUGGUGCAGGGUGAGCAGGCAGCACGCCCUGGGGCAGGCAGGCGGUGCAGCAGCCUGGUCCCUGGGCCAGGGGCUGGGGUGUCAGGAAACGCUUUCCAGAGAAGGUAGGAGUACUCAUCACUGACAUCCCCCCAGCACGCCGAGCUUAUUAUGGGCAAUGUCCUACUCCGAGCGCUUUAUGAGGGUCAGCUCACCUAAUCCUCAGGACACACUCUUUGAGGCCUAGGGGGGUUAAGUAACUUGGCAGGUGGCAGGGGCAGAUGCUGAACUCACACCGGGCACUGUGGCUGGCAUCCUCCACCUCCAUACUCGCCCGGCCCCUGGGGAGCUAGCAGGGAGCGGACUGUUGUCCAACCGGGAGAAGCAGGUCCUGGCGGCCAUGCCUCUUCCCCCUCCUCUCCCUCUCUUCCUUUGCCACUGCUCACCUUCACCCCAUCCUCCAUGCCAGGACAGAAUGAGCCACCCAAAUGCCAGAGGACCUUUGGAAGGAUCCUAGCACUGCCUGCUGGAGAUCCCCUGACGGCUUCCCACAAACUGCCCUGUGGGGCACGGAAGCCCUCGGCAGUCCCCUCUGGCCCCUGCCUUCCUCUCCAGCCUCAUCUUCCCGAACACUGGCCUUGACCAACGCGGCCGCUCACCGGACUCCACACGCCAUCCUUGGGGGUCCCCGGGCCUUGGCUGGUAACUGAUUUUCUGCCAAAAAGGCUCUUGUCUUCUGGUCUUUUGACAAAUCCCUGCACAUCCUCUAGAUUUGGGUCAGCUGUUGCCUCCUGGGAAGACUUCCCUGACCCUCUCAGGGUCAGGUAUUUGCUUUGUUCCUUAGGUUUCCCAGGUCUUGGAACAGACUCCUACUCUAUACCCCGCUCCACCCGCUGGUGGGCGCUGGGUGUGCGUCUCUUCCCAGCUCCAUGCUCAGUGACUUUCCGUGAAGCAUUAAUAGCUUGAAGUCCAUCACAGCGGGAGUGUUUGCACCAUGGAAAUUGGCCAACCCUACAAACCAGCUGUCCCACCUUAAGAGCCUGUUAAGCAUGCACAGACGCCCCCACUGUGUCUUUCUCCUGCUGCUUCACGGUUUGCAUGUCUGCCUGUCUCCUCUCCCAAGCCGCAGUGCUUCAAAGGCAGGUCCUGGUUUUACUUAUCUUUUUCUAAAGACAGGCCCAGCAUAAUGUCUGUGGACAUUGGAGAUACCAAUAACUUGUGAGACAUGCCCUAGACUUGUCAUUUAAUCAUGGUGACAAGGCACUUUGCUGCCCCCUGUUCCUUUGAAAACUCUGCCAUGCCAGGCCAGCUUCCUGCUCAGAAGCCGUCAGGAGCUGCCUUUACCUAUGGGACCAGAAUGCAAAGUCCCCCGAGGUAGGCAUUUUCAUCUGUUUUAUCAGUGUGACUCAGUGCUCAACAUGGAGAUGUGCUUAGUGCCACCUAACAUGUUAUUGACAAAUGUAUGGAUGAUAACAUUAAAUCUCCUUAUGACAGCCUUCAAGACCCUUUAUUAAUAAUUCUCCUCUCUCUCUCGGCUUCUGUGGCCUGCUUCCCUCAUGGUUGGAACCUCCCUCCAGUCCCACGGCUCCCACGAGUUAGGUCCUGUGCAGGCACCACACACUCUUGUCCGGGCAUGACAUUGUCCCUCCCUCCCCUCUUUUGCAUAAGGCCUCCUCAUUCUUCAGCCCUGGCUUCUGCAACACCUGCUGCCUCCUGCUCUUCCUCUGGCACGAGCCUUAAAGGUUAGAAUUGUUUCCUACAGCCUCAGGCUAUGAGAUUUGAGGGUUUGAGCUCCUUGGGGCGGGGCUGACAUACCGACAGCUUUGGUCCCCUCGGAACCCCUCCAUACCUACCUUAUAGUCUCAUACGCAGCAGGCACCCAGUGUGGGUUUGUGAUCUGUGUUCAGCCAUAUUUUUUUAAAAAUUAGAGACCGGCAAGAUGUAUGCAAGUCUCAGCCUCUGGUCGAGCCACUCCAUGGAGUUGAUUUUGUUAGCAGACAUCCCCCAAGUGUCAGUGGAGGUUGCAGCGGGACGGGUGUCCAGGGCAUGACAAGGCGGUGUUAGCUGCCUGGCUCUAAUAUCCUUUUCUCUUUCCUUCCAGUCCACGGCCCCCUUGUUCCUGGCUGACUGCAGUACUGCUGCCCACCGGUGGACUACAGCCGGAGCAGCUCGGUGUGAGGGCGCGGCAGGGAGUGGGAGUGAAGCCUGGAGGACAGGGUGGAGAGGGAGCCUGGCCUGCGGCUCCAGAGCCAUCUGAGCCUUCUGCUGGGGCACGGAGGUUAAUGCAGGCUUUGGAAUCAGGUGACCUCAGACCUCAGUUUGGAUCUCCACCCUGCCAGUUGCUUGCUGUGUGACUGUGGAAGGCAUACUUACCUUUUCUGGGCCUCAACUUUCUUAUCUAUAAAAUGGCAUAAUAAUAAUACCUACUUUAUAGAAGGAAAUAAUCAAAAGAAAAUGGGAUUAGACAAUGUAUGAACGUGUUUAGCACAGGGGCGGCAUGCACCAUUUCGUUGUUGUUAGCUGUUCUCUGUUUCCACUGGAAGCAGAACAGAAGACUUCCCUGUGGUUAAGACCACGCGGCUGAGGCUGGGCAGGUCACGGGUGGUGAGGCGAAGUUGGGUCACUGGAUGUUGGCAAUGGGCUAAAGCCCUUCCGCUCAGAGUAUGAUGCACAGGCGGGAACAUCAGCACCACCGGCAGCUUGUUGGAAAUGCGGAAUCCUGCACUCCACCCCGGGCACACUGAUUAAGAAUCUGCUCUUCAAAGAACAAGAUCCCCACUUGCUCAUUAGAUUACAAGGCUCCGGCUGGGGCACUUCGGGACAGUACUUCUGUGGUCACUCCAGUAGCUUCUCCCCAUCUUUCCGAUGCCACCAGGCCCUGUCUGCAGCCAGGUAGGCACCGUGGGCCCAGGCGGUGCAUAGAACAGCGAGGACCGGGCAAGGCAAGCUGUGCCACCAGCAGGACCGCAGUGUGACGGAACUUCCCCUUCCUGCCCAGCAGAUGGCGAGCGCGUGCCAGCGGUGCUUCUCAAAGGCUGUUGACUUGCGGGCGCGGUGGGAUCCUCCACCAGCGCGCUCCCGUGUGGAGUCAUGGAGUCGUAUCUGCCAGCCAGGCCUGGGUGGGUGUCCCGUGCGCCAGUGACAACGCGUCCCUCUAGCACCCUGUCGGACGUUCUCCGGGGUUGCCUGGGCGGCCGCGCCUGACACUGAUGUCAGAGGACAGCCUCGGCCCGGGGCCUGGCUGAGGAAGGUGCUCACGGGAGAGGGAGCACCCCCUGCCGCAGGCUCCGCGGGCCCUCUCUUCACCCCUGCACCGGAUGAAAGUAGGCGCUUGACCCACGAGCCGCCGGGUUCCAGGUUAAGUGGAAAUGGAAAACCCAACACAUCUUACGGCUGAUAGAAUAUCAUCAUCAGAUGGCAGAAGCCACCGUCACACACCAGCAAGGAGACGGAGCCUGCUUGUGAGUCCGAGGACUGCAGGAUGGAGUGCAGGGCCUGGUGUCGGGGUGGUGAUGAAAGGAGGGGCUCUUUCUUACCAGUCUCCCGCCAACAUGGAGUCCGAGCAGAGAACAUUCCGGGAUUUGUCGUGAGAGUCUGGGUUCUGCGCUGGGAGUUCAACACCCGAGUUCCCUCCCCGGUGCCCUGGAGGGCAGGACAGGAUAUUGGAAGGAGCCUACCAGUUGUGUGUCUUUGGACAAGUAACUUAACCUUUCUGUGCCUCGAUUUCCCUAUCUCUAAAAUGGAGGUAAUGGGAGUAUGAAUUGCACACUAUUAUGUAGAGUUUAAAUGAUUAUUUCGUUAUUUAGCCCAUAGUAGGUGCUAAACAGGUGUUUGUUGUUAUUUCCCUUUAGUUUUAGUCUGUCCUUCAGCAGAACAGGCAGAAGCACCUGUCCAACUCCAAGGGGCAGUUGAGGCCCCAGGAGAAGAGUCCAGAGAAAGAAGUCCCCGAGCUGACCCCAUCUCUCCUUCCUCUCCAGGUCUUCUUCAUACUGCAACAGAAGCCAGAGCAGCUCACCUUCCUGCAUGUCUACUACCGUGGCCCUGGGCCCUUCACCUGGCGGGCUAGAGUCAGAUAUGUACGAGGGUUACAGAGGUGCUAUUUGCAGUCUGGAGGGUGAAACAUGAAAGAAAAACCCAAACCACAGCGAGUGCAGCUAUGGAGCCUUCUUCAUCGGAAUGCUUAACUCCUUGGUCCAUGUCUUCAUGCACCUGUCCUGUGGCCUGGCCAGUUUGGGGCCAUGCUUGCAUCCCUACCUAUGGUGGAAGUGACAUCCUACAGCUGCCAGGGAGACCCCGUUGGUUCCAGGGUUCUAUUGUUGGCUACACCAGUGACAGCCCAGGGUCAGUUUGUGGCCAUUGCAGUGACUCCUACAGUCUCUUCCCCAUGGGCUCAGUGUGGCCGUCCUCCUCAGCACCCUCAGCCUCCUCACUCUUCGUCUCAACUUCCACCAGCAGAUGCCCCUGGGGGCAAGUGCGAGAAGCUGCGAGAAGGAGCAGGACCCAGGACGGAAGCUAGAGAGCUGUCCCACAGGGAGCUGUCCUGAAGACAGUGUGGCUCCCAGCCUGCGAGAGCCUCCCGCCGCCUCUGGGCCUCCACUGCGCCCUGUGAAGCAGGGAGGAUUUAGAGUCGCCUGCUUUGCAGAGUUCAGCCGGGAAGCAGCGGAGCCCGCUUCCGGCACUCGCGUCUGCUAGCGCGCGCCACGUUCCCCACACCGGGCGCAGUGCCUCAACUGUGCGUGUGGGUCCCUGGAGCCCACGGCUGGGGGUCGUGACCUCUGGCGACAAACAGGGCUGGGAAGAGGUCCAGGCUGGCUUGAUCUCCAACCUUACAGUGAGAAGCCGUGGCUGAGGAUGUCCAAGAGUGAGCGUGGGUCUGCUCGGCUUGAGUGUGGCUGUGUGAAUAGCUCCCCUGCGUAAAUGUAUUUUUGUCUGUUUACCGCUGCCCGCGUGUGUUUAUAGAGUUGUGUGAUUCCGUGUGCGCAUGGGGGGAGACGGAGAGGCCACGUGCACAUGUCUGAAUACUUGUUUUCAAAUACACACACGUUUCCAUGGGGCUUCUUGCUGUUUGUGUUGUUUGCUUGUCUCUUCUGUAAGUGCCACACUGGCAAAUGCAUAAUUCUCCUGUUCCAGUGGGAGCCAGAGAAGUCCACUGAGAAAUCUCCGAAUACAUGGUCUACUGAAAGCUUCAAAAGAGAAAUGGGUAAAGAGGUAAAAAGGGAGAAUGGGGUGCAGCCAUCCUCUCCGCAGAGAGGGCAGCGAAGGGAUGUCUGACGGAGGUCACUUCGUGUGGCAGAAGCCAACGUGGGCUGAGCAAGCAGCUCGCCGGGAGCUGUCCCCAGGCCUCCUGCGCGGCCUUUCCCCGUUAUGCCCCGAGCCCCGCCCAGCUGUUUUGAUCCCUCGGUAAGUUCUUGUGCGAUGCCUCCACAGCGAAGAGAAUUAAAGAACCACUGAGGGCUUCCCGGUGCUAUUUGGAGACUGUUUCCCCAUCCGCACUCCAGUUAAUCAUCUCAAGGCCACUCAGGGCUGCAUCCUGUGGACGGAAAACUCGGAGAAAAUUCCCCCAAAAUAACACAGGAUGUGAGCACAUCUCACACACUUUUCCACGUACGGGUUGAGUGACUUUGGGGGGCGGUGCCUUCUUAAGGCAAACUUUUGUAUUUUUUUUAAUUUUUUUAUUUUUUAUUUUUUAUUUUUUUGCAGCUGGUCAGUGGUUGUCAUGUAUGUUUUUUAAAUACAUAGGAGUAAGGUCUGUUCAUUUGCUUAGCAGCCAGGAUAAGGGGGGAAUUAGCUCAGAGCUAAUAUUUGUCCAGUUUUUUGUGGCUGCUUGUGCCUGUGCUGCACAAAGGGAAGUGGUACGUCCCGGUCACUCUAAGUGAAACGCGAGUUAGGCUGGGGAGCCUGGGGUAAGGCGAUGCACCUGAGAGGGUCUGGGGGAACAUUCUCAGCAGGCUGGGGGCCCCUUGUUUCCUGUCCUAUGGUGUGGUGCCUCUAGCUCAGGAGUGCUUUUUAAAUAUUAUUAAUAUUUAUCAGCAUAGGAUGGUUGUGUGACUAUUAUGAAACAAAGCUGUUUGGAUUUGGCAAAACAGCCUGAUUCUCAGCUAAAAAUUGUAGAAGUUUGUCUCCAUGAGCUGUUUAAGAUAAUGAUAAGGAAAGGUGCUGGUUAGAUUUUUAAAUAUAUACCAUGGUAGGGCUGAGCUAUGGCUCAUUUGCCAAGACAGGGAGGGCCAGAGUACCAGGUGGGAGGGUCCCAGAGUUGGACAUGGCGGGCAGCACCCACAUCCUGUCUUCCUGGACCCUUGUACAGAGGUCCAACAGCCAAUGAUUUGGGCUCCUGGCUUUCACUUCCUAAAUCAGAGUACUUCGAACUAAUGGAAGGAGAGUCCCCCCAGUGGUCUUCAUGGUCCCCUUCCAGAUCAGCCUUCUGAGGACCCUCCUCCUCCCGGCCGCACGCACACACACUCCACCAUCCACUCCGGAACCACCUACCCUAAGAGCUGCCCACUGACCAGUCUUUGAGCCAGGAGUCAGAAGGAAGGGUUAUUUGUCUCUUUCCUCACCCUCCCUUUCUCUCUUUCUUGAAGUCCUGUGCAUAAAUGCAGGGACCUCUUUCUAAAGAAGGGAGUCACUGCCUUUUGUCCUUGGUCCCAGGGUAGUCUUUGAGAAAAAUGUCUGUUAUGAAGGAAAUGCAUAAUUUGAAUCAGAGCUUUUGACAUUCAAACCCUCACAAUCAGGAUCUAAGGUCUCCUGUGUGUGAAAGCUUCAGGUGUCAGCGGGGUGCUGGGCAGGGAUGUAUGGAGGAGGGAAUAGAAUACCUAAGAAAUAAAAGACCCUGACUUCAAGGAUCUUGUAUUUUAGCAGGGGUAGGGAGGACAGGGACUCAUGAAUCAAAUAAGGGAACAUUUAUUUUUAAAAGAUCAUACAGAGCCAUUAUAAAGUUGGAGACCCACUGGCUGGGGAGGCAGCUCUGGAUUCGCAGAACAUCUGAGUUCAGAUUCUACCUGUAUCCUCCUCCUGGCAGGGGGAGGGCACUGGGCAGUUCAUAUCACCCUUUAGUGCCUUUUGUGCAUGGAAUUCAGCACAGAAGCUGCUUUCAGAUAUAACAAAUAUAUUUGAUAGAGUAAUAACCCAUAGUCAUUAUAAACCCUUCUUUUAAGAAUGCAUAAUAAUUUAGCAAUGCAAUGUUAAAAAUGUAGGAAAAUUCCAACUUUGAAAAGAAUUACACAUAAAUAUAAACACAAAAAUGUUAAGAAUGACUAUCUCUAGAGGGUAAAAUUAUGCAUGUUUUUAUUUUCUUUGCAUUUUCCUGUGUUCUGCAACGCAUAUUCUUUUUUAAUCAUGAAAAUUUAA